Molecule: long non-coding RNA, 1731 nt
Organism: Mustela lutreola (European mink)
Lineage: Eukaryota; Metazoa; Chordata; Mammalia; Carnivora; Mustelidae
Exons: 5
Source: RefSeq, a predicted model, not a curated record
CCCGGCUCCUUUGGCUCUUUCUGCGUCUGGGAUCACUUUAAAGUUACCUGCCUGUGCACCUGGCCCAUGAGGGGAGAGAAGGAGUUCACCGUGUGUCCUCAGCUUCCAGCACCUUGAUUAGCGCGUUGCCCGGGGACACGCCGGUGACCUGAACCACAGGGCCCCCAGAUGCAAAUACCCCUGGGAGAAGCAACAGAACCUCACCAAGAAUAAUUUCAUUCAGUCUUUUCUGUAAAGCCGACUGAGCAAAGUCAAGAAUUCUGCAUUUCUGAAGUACUGUUCUAAUGCUUCCUCCGUGAGUGAGUCGGCAUGAAAUCAGCUUGGAAGGUACAGAUGGAUGGCUGUCCCUGGCAGCUCUCUCUGACCAUGUGGGCUCCUUUCACUGGGCACAACUUGGAGUCAAUUGCUUGCAGUUUUGUAGAUGAAGAAGAGAAAGCAAAAAGGACAUCGGGAUCUUACAUGACCAGGCUGAAAGGAGGCACCUACCUUUUGCCUGUAUUCAAUCUGUCAGAAGUCUGUGGUGUGACCAACCUAACUGCAAAGAAGCUACUGGAGGAAAUGUUUCAUUAAAAUGAGACUACACCAAGAAUAGAAGACAUAGGAUCCAGGAAACAGGGCAUCCUGAAGGAAAAAACACUUAAAGAACUAUCCCUGGAAGAAAAAUGGACUGGAUGAACUAUGUAACAGUUUUGACAAAAUGGAAGAUUAUACUCUUAAGUGUUUUAUAGAGCUAUUCAAGGUGUGGGAAGAACAAGCCAGUGAACAGAUGGAAAAAAAAAGAGGCAGUAACUCCAGAUAGAGCAGAUCUAUAAAAGAAAAUUACAUAUAAAUAUAUAUCUGCUCUAACUGGGAUUUACCUGUAUUUAGUAGACAAGGGAAAAAAGAAUAAGGGGCCUGAGAAAGAAUUCCAUUUAUUAAAAUAGAUGAUAUCAGGGAAGGAAGAUCCACUAUCAGUUAUUUGUACCUUAGUGUAGCUCAUUAUAAGGAAUGAUGUUAAUGUUGAAGAAUAUCAACAAAUUAGAAUUGCAGAGUUAGUGUCAUUGCAAACCUAUUAAUCAAUUAUGUCUAAUAUAUAAAGAACAUUAAAGUGAACUUUGGGGUACCUGGUGGUUCAGUCAGUUAAGCAUCCGACUUGGUUUUGGCUCAGGUCAUGAUCUCAGGGUCCUGGAUCGAGCCCCAUGCCAGGCUCCCUGCUCAGUAGGGUAUUUGCUUCUCCCUUUGCCUUCUUAAUAAAUAAAUUUUUUUAUUUAUUACUUCUCAAAUAAAUAAAUUUUUUUAACAAAAUUUUUAAAAUGAAUUUAUAUGGCAGAAAUUUUGUAAUCUGACCUUUCUUGAGAUCUGACACUAUAUCUUUAGAGAGAGAUGGCUCUGAGUGGCUGGACACUGACAUGAUGGAGUCCAUGUCCUUCCCACUGCCUCCACUUUUAAAGUGUCUUUGCUAAUUCUGAUGUUCCUUUUGUCUACAGUAUUUUUAUGUCUAAUAGGAAUCCAGCCCCACUGAUAUGUAGAACUUAGAUAACCUGACUCUUAGGCAAUGACUUACUUGUGGCAAAUCUGUGUAGUGGGGCUCAUACAAACCUCCAUUUUGUGCAAGGUCGGGGUGAAGAAAAUGUAAUGUUUCACCUGAAAACAUCUGAGACUAUCCCUUUGAUCCAUGUUUCUUGCCUGGCUUUCCAGGUACAAAGCUACUUGAGUAGUCAUUGUCCAUUUAAAAAAAAUUAUUGGAUUUUG